Molecule: ribosomal RNA, 479 nt
Filed under: uncultured bacterium
Lineage: Bacteria
Description: bacterial SSU rRNA
Rfam family: Bacterial small subunit ribosomal RNA
Source: RNAcentral
AAUCAACGCUGGCGGCGUGCCUAACACAUGCAAGUCGAACGCGAAAGGGGCUUCGGCCCUGAGUAGAGUGGCGAACGGGUGAGUAACACGUGGGUGAUCUACCUCUGAGUGGGGGAUAACGUUCCGAAAGGAGCGCUAAUACCGCAUGACGUUCUGGGUUUGAAGACCUGGAAACCAAAGCCGGGGACCGCAAGGCCUGGCGCUUGGAGAGGAGCCCGCGCCUGAUUAGCUAGUUGGGAGGUAAUGGCCCACCAAGGCGACGAUCAGUAGCCGGCCUGAGAGGGCGGACGGCCACACUGGGACUGAGACACGGCCCAGACUCCUACGGGAGGCAGCAGUGGGGAAUUGUUCGCAAUGGGCGCAAGCCUGACGACGCAACGCCGCGUGGAGGAUGAAGGUCUUCGGAUUGUAAACUCCUGUUGAUCGGAAAGAACAGGCUUUGACCUAACACGUCAGAGCACUGACGGUACCGGUUGAGG